ACUGAGGCCUAUCCCCACGGCUUCCCCAGUAACCACACAUCAUUGGAAACACUUCAUGCUGUAGCUGUGGUUUUGCUUGACUCGUGGGAAUGUUUCCUAGGUUUGUGGAAAGGAACGGCAAGACAGUU
Molecule: small nucleolar RNA, 128 nt
Filed under: Meriones unguiculatus (Mongolian gerbil)
Lineage: Eukaryota; Metazoa; Chordata; Mammalia; Rodentia; Muridae
Source: RNAcentral